RNAcentral lists this ribosomal RNA (406 nucleotides) under uncultured bacterium. Its description in RNAcentral is "partial 16S ribosomal RNA". It matches the Rfam family "Bacterial small subunit ribosomal RNA", at positions 30 to 526 of the family's 1533-position model. The record is from RNAcentral.
AUUGAACGCUGGCGGCAGGCCUAACACAUGCAAGUCGAACGAGUGGCGGACGGGGGAGUAAUGUCUGGGAAACUGCCCGAUGGAGGGGGAUAAAACCUGGAAACGGUAGCUAAUACCGCAUAACAUAGGAUGUGACCAGAUGGGAUUAGCUGGUAGUUGAGGUAACGGCUCACCUAGUCGACGAUCCCUAGCUGGUCUGAGAGGAUGAACAGCCACACGUGAACUGAGACACGGUCCAGACUCCUACGUGAGGCAGCGGUGGGGAAUAUUGCACAAUGGGCGCAAGCCUGAUGCAGCCAUGCCGCGUGUGUGAAGAAGGUCUUCGGAUUGUAAAGCACUUUAAGUUGGGAGGCGUUACCAACAGAAUAAGCACCGGCUAACUUCGUGCCAGCCGCCGCGGUAAUAC